GCUGGGUGUGGUAUUGCACACCUGUAAUCCCCGUGGCUUGGGAGACUGAGGCAGGAGGAUUGCAGGUUCAAGGCCUGCCUCAGAAAUUAGUGAGGCUCUAAGCAACUUAGCAAGACCUGUCUCAA
RNAcentral lists this small RNA (125 nucleotides) under Marmota monax (woodchuck). Lineage: Eukaryota; Metazoa; Chordata; Mammalia; Rodentia; Sciuridae. The record is from RNAcentral.